AGAGUUUGAUCCUGGCUCAGAUUGAACGCUGGCGGCAGGCCUAACACAUGCAAGUCGAACGGUAACAGGAAGCAGCUUGCUGCUUCGCUGACGAGUGGCGGACGGGUGAGUAAUGUCUGGGAAGCUGCCUGAUGGAGGGGGAUAACUACUGGAAACGGUAGCUAAUACCGCAUAAUGUCGCAAGACCAAAGAGGGGGACCUUCGGGCCUCUUGCCAUCGGAUGUGCCCAGAUGGGAUUAGCUUGUUGGUGGGGUAACGGCUCACCAAGGCGACGAUCCCUAGCUGGUCUGAGAGGAUGACCAGCCACACUGGAACUGAGACACGGUCCAGACUCCUACGGGAGGCAGCAGUGGGGAAUAUUGCACAAUGGGCGCAAGCCUGAUGCAGCCAUGCCGCGUGUAUGAAGAAGGCCUUCGGGUUGUAAAGUACUUUCAGCGGGGAGGAAGGGAGUAAAGUUAAUACCUUUGCUCAUUGACGUUACCCGCAGAAGAAGCACCGGCUAACUCCGUGCCAGCAGCCGCGGUAAUACGGAGGGUGCAAGCGUUAAUCGGAAUUACUGGGCGUAAAGCGCACGCAGGCGGUUUGUUAAGUCAGAUGUGAAAUCCCCGGGCUCAACCUGGGAACUGCAUCUGAUACUGGCAAGCUUGAGUCUCGUAGAGGGGGGUAGAAUUCCAGGUGUAGCGGUGAAAUGCGUAGAGAUCUGGAGGAAUACCGGUGGCGAAGGCGGCCCCCUGGACGAAGACUGACGCUCAGGUGCGAAAGCGUGGGGAGCAAACAGGAUUAGAUACCCUGGUAGUCCACGCCGUAAACGAUGUCGACUUGGAGGUUGUGCCCUUGAGGCGUGGCUUCCGGAGCUAACGCGUUAAGUCGACCGCCUGGGGAGUACGGCCGCAAGGUUAAAACUCAAAUGAAUUGACGGGGGCCCGCACAAGCGGUGGAGCAUGUGGUUUAAUUCGAUGCAACGCGAAGAACCUUACCUGGUCUUGACAUCCACGGAAGUUUUCAGAGAUGAGAAUGUGCCUUCGGGAACCGUGAGACAGGUGCUGCAUGGCUGUCGUCAGCUCGUGUUGUGAAAUGUUGGGUUAAGUCCCGCAACGAGCGCAACCC
This 1107-nucleotide ribosomal RNA is filed under the name uncultured bacterium. RNAcentral describes it as "bacterial SSU rRNA". It matches the Rfam family "Bacterial small subunit ribosomal RNA", at positions 8 to 1104 of the family's 1533-position model. The record is from RNAcentral.